UUCCGGUUGAUCCUGCCGGAGGUCACUGCUAUCAGUAUUCGAUUAAGCCAUGCGAGUCAAAUGUUUUUCGUAAACAUGGCGUACUGCUCAGUAACACGUGGAUAAUCUGCCCUAAGGUCUGGCAUAACUCCGGGAAACUGGUGAUAAUUCCAGAUAUGCCAUAGAAACUGGAAUGUUCCGUGGUCAAAAGCUCCGGCGCCUUAGGAUGAAUCUGCGGCCUAUCAGGUUGUAGUGGGUGUAGUGUACCUACUAGCCGACGACGGGUACGGGUUGUGAGAGCAAGAGCCCGGAGAUGGAUUCUGAGACAUGAAUCCAGGCCCUACGGGGCGCAGCAGGCGCGGAAACUUUACAAUGCGGGAAACCGCGAUAAGGGGAUACUGAGUGCCAGCAUCUUAUGUUGGCUGUCCGCAUGUAUAAAUAGCAUGUGUUAGCAAGGGCCGGGCAAGACCGGUGCCAGCCGCCGCGGUAACACCGGCGGCCCGAGUGGUGGCCACUAUUAUUGGGUCUAAAGGGUCCGUAGCCGGUUCGAUCAGUCUUCCGGGAAAUCUGACAGCUCAACUGUUAGGCUUCCGGGGGAUACUGUCGGACUUGGGACCGGGAGAGGUAAGAGGUACUACAGGGGUAGGAGUGAAAUCUUGUAAUCCUUGUGGGACCACCAGUGGCGAAGGCGUCUUACCAGAACGGGUCCGACGGUGAGGGACGAAAGCUGGGGGCACGAACCGGAUUAGAUACCCGGGUAGUCCCAGCCGUAAACGAUGCUCGCUAGGUGUCUGGGACGGUGCGACCGUUUCAGGUGCCGCAGGGAAGCCGUGAAGCGAGCCACCUGGGAAGUACGGCCGCAAGGCUGAAACUUAAAGGAAUUGGCGGGGGAGCACUACAACGGGUGGAGCCUGCGGUUUAAUUGGAUUCAACGCCGGA
This 918-nucleotide ribosomal RNA is filed under the name uncultured archaeon. RNAcentral's name for it is "bacterial SSU rRNA". It matches the Rfam family "Archaeal small subunit ribosomal RNA", at positions 1 to 922 of the family's 1478-position model. The record is from RNAcentral.